Molecule: long non-coding RNA, 2059 nt
Filed under: Zonotrichia albicollis (white-throated sparrow)
Lineage: Eukaryota; Metazoa; Chordata; Aves; Passeriformes; Passerellidae
Description: lncRNA (ENSZALG00000017914.1)
Source: RNAcentral
AUGCCCAGUGCAGCAGCAGCAGCCCUGGCAGUGCCAGCAGCCCCGGCCCACAGCCCUCUCCCACGGAAUUCCCGGAGCACAGGGACCCCUUGCCCACGGAACUCCCGGAAAAUGGGGACCCCUCGCCCACGGGACGCCCCGAGAACAGCUCCAGGACAUCCAGCCCCAGGGACAUCCCCGCCGUUUGCCGGGAUCCCGGCGCUGCCUCGGAGCCCGGAUGGGGUAAGGACAGGCAGGGAGUUCCCUGGAGCUGCUUCCCUGCGGAGGGAAUUCCCAGUGUCUCUGAACCCUCCUCUGUGUUUCACACAGCGUUCCAGGAUCCCACAUUUCCAUGUAAAGCUCCUUUCCUGGGGAGGGAAUUCCCAAUUUUCUCUGAAUUCUUUUCUGUAUUUCACACAGCAUUCCAGGAUCCCACAUUUCCAUGUAAAGCUCCUUCCCUGGGAAGGGAAUUCCCAAUUUUCUCUGAAUUCUUUUCUGUAUUUCACACAACAUUUCAGGAUCCCACUUUUCCAGGUGCUCAAUUUCCAUGUAAAGCUGCUUUCCUGGGAAAUGAAAUCUCAUUUUCUCAAAAGCCUUUUCUGUAUUUCACACAGCUUCCCAGGAUUCCCACAACAUUCCAGGAUCCCACAUUUCCAUCUGAGACUGCUUUCCUGGGAAGGGAAUUCCCACUUUAUCAGAAUUCUUUUUCUGUGUUUCACACAGCGUUCCAGGAUCCCACAUUUCCAUCUGAGUUUGGUUUCCUGGGAAGGGAAUUCCCAAUUUUCUCUGAAUUCUUUUCUGUAUUUCACACAACAUUCCAGGAUUCCACAUUUCCCUGGCAGCUGGAGCUCUCCGUUCCCGGAGUUCUGGAUUCUCCCUCUGGAAUCUGGGAACUCCAUCCAGAGCCAGGAAUCUUUGUGGUGUUUUAGGGAAUUUUUCCAUUCUCAUUCCAGGCUCUUUAUCCCUGCUGCUGCUGUGCCUGCUCCUGCUGAUGGUGAGUGGAAUUUCCAUCCUGCUCCUGAUCAUCCAGGCAGCCCAGAGAAAAGCCAGGAAUGGGCCUGGGAGGAGCACCCAGCACACAAAAAAAUCAGCAGAAAAUGAGCGUCAGGAAACCAAAGCCGCGGCUGACGCCGGCCUGGUGCUGCUGACGUGAGGCCCCAGCGCAGGUUUCCUUUUUUUGGGGUGGUUGUUUCUUUUUUUGGGGUGGUUUCCUUUAUUUUGGGGUGGUUUCCUUUAUUUUGGGGUGGUUUCCUUUGUUUUGGGGUCGUUUCCUUUUGUUUUCUCCCGAGUCUCAUCAUUUGGGUGGCUCAGCAAAGGGGAGGCUCCAGGAAGAGGGGAAGUGGGGGUGAUGUGGGCACAGGAGGAUUCCCAGGAAUUCCUGGGGUUGGAAAAGCUCUGUAGGGUCAGAGGGAUCCUCACCCGGAGUGCCUGAACCCAGAAAUUCCCUGGAAACCUCCAGGGAUGGGAAUUCCACCCUUUUCCAUGAGGAAAUCCCAGUCCCUGGCACAAUUUGAGGUCAUUUCCCCUCAUCCUAUCCCAAAACCCGACCCCCUUCUGGCUCCAACCCCGAAUUCCUCAGAAAUCCCUUGAGGAAUGUCCAUGAGGGUAUUCCCAAGUUCUCAUGGACAGAGCUCCAGGAAUCCUUGGAUUUUCCCCAGAUCCCAUCUUUGGGGGUUUGGGACCCCCAGGGUGUGGAAAAGGGAUUAAAUCCAGGACAUUUGUCCCUCCUUUCCAUCCCAGUUUGGAAUUUAGGGUUGGAAUUUGCCCUGAUCCCCAGAGAGGGGAAUUUUUUUUCCCAGGGGAAGGCAGGGCUGUGAUCAGUGGGGUUUUGGAGAAGGAUUUUUAGGGGUUUUGAUGGAUUUGGGGUGAGGAUUUCACUCCAGCUUUCUGGGAAUGUCAGAGUUUGUAGGAUUUUCCCUGUGGAGUCCCCAAACUUGCAGCCCAAAGAGGGGGAAUGUUCCCAUGGAGUGUGUUGAGUUUUUGGGAAGGAUUGGGACUUUUGAUGGAUUUGGGGUGAGGAUUUCUGGGAAUGUCACUGUAUCUACUGUAUCUUUCUGUCCGAUUUUUUAGGAUUUUCCCC